This is a small nuclear RNA of Ostrea edulis (European flat oyster), 150 nucleotides long. RefSeq annotates it as U12 minor spliceosomal RNA. The record is from RefSeq and is a predicted model, not a curated record. The transcript has a single exon. Lineage: Eukaryota; Metazoa; Mollusca; Bivalvia; Ostreida; Ostreidae.
AUGCCUUAAACUAAUGAGUAAGGAAAAUAAUGAGCUAGGGUAGCGCCUGGCUCCAGAGUAACAUCUCUGAACAAUUUGUGUGAGGGCACAGGUCGCCCCCAUGGUGACCCGCCUACUUAGCGGGAUGCCUGGGUUGUUGUGAUCUGCCUA